UAAGCGAGGAGGAGGCUACUUGAUUAAUACUCUAGGAUAGUGGACGUUACUCGCAGAAUAAGCACCGGCUAACUCUGUGCCAGCAGCCGCGGUAAUACAGAGGGUGCGAGCGUUAAUCGGAUUUACUGGGCGUAAAGCGUGCGUAGGCGGCUUUUUAAGUCGGAUGUGAAAUCCCUGAGCUUAACUUAGGAAUUGCAUUCGAUACUGGGAAGCUAGAGUAUGGGAGAGGAUGGUAGAAUUCCAGGUGUAGCGGUGAAAUGCGUAGAGAUCUGGAGGAAUACCGAUGGCGAAGGCAGCCAUCUGGCCUAAUACUGACGCUGAGGUACGAAAGCAUGGGGAGCAAACAGGAUUAGAUACCCUGGUAGUCCAUGCCGUAAACGAUGUCUACUAGCCGUUGGGGCCUUUGAGGCUUUAGUGGCGCAGCUAACGCGAUA
Molecule: ribosomal RNA, 434 nt
Filed under: uncultured bacterium
Lineage: Bacteria
Description: bacterial SSU rRNA
Rfam family: Bacterial small subunit ribosomal RNA
Source: RNAcentral